Molecule: ribosomal RNA, 797 nt
Filed under: uncultured bacterium
Lineage: Bacteria
Description: bacterial SSU rRNA
Rfam family: Bacterial small subunit ribosomal RNA
Source: RNAcentral
AGAGUUUGAUCAUGGCUCAGAUUGAACGCUUGGCGGCGUGCCUAACACAUUGCAAGUCGAGCGGUAACAGGUGUAGCAAUACAUGCUGACGAGCGGCGAACGGGUGAGUAAUGCUUUGGAAUCUUCCCAGUAGUGGGGAAUAACCAGUCGAAAGAUUGGCUAAUACCGCAUACGUCUGUAAAGGGAAAGCGGGGGCUCGUAAGACCUCGCGCUAUUGGAUGAGCCAAAGUCGGAUUAGCUAGUUGGUGGGGUAAUGGCCUACCAAGGCGACAAUCCGUAGCUGGUCUGAGAGGACGACCAGCCACACCGGAACUGAGACACGGUCCGGACUCCUACGGGAGGCAGCAGUGGGGAAUAUUGGACAAUGGGGGAAACCCUGAUCCAGCGACGCCGCGUGUGUGAAGAAGGCCUGCGGGUUGUAAAGCACUUUUAGUGGGGACAAAAAGCUACGGACUAAUACUCUGUGGUCUUGAUUUAACCCAAAGAAAAAGCACCGGCUAACUCUGUGCCAGCAGCCGCGGUAAUACAGAGGGUGCGAGCGUUAAUCGGAAUUACUGGGCGUAAAGCGCGCGUAGACGGUUUUGUAAGUCAGAUGUGAAAUCCCUGGGCUCAACCUGGGAACUGCAUUUGAAACUGCAUGGCUAGAGUAUGGAAGAGGGAAGUGGAAUUUCCGGUGUAGCGGUGAAAUGCGUAGAUAUCGGAAGGAACACCAGUGGCGAAAGCGACUUCCUGGUCCAAUACUGACGUUCAUGUGCGAAAGCGUGGGGAGCAAACAGGAUUAGAUACCCCCGUAGUCC